AACUCUCUCUCUUUCUGAUUGAGUGUAAGCUGCUAUAUGAAGGGAUCCACAAGACGAAUAAUUAAGGGGGACCUCUGAUCAACAGCCAGCAAGGAACUGAAUCCCUCAGACCCACAACUCACAAGAAACUGAAGCUGAAGCAGAUUCUUCCUCAGUCAAGCUUCAGGACCUGCUUUGCAGAAAGGAUCUCAUUGAGAAUAGCAAAAGGAAGUUGGGAACCAUUACAGUGCCCAGCUGUAUUGGUAGAGGAGACCAACCACACCCUCCACAGCACAGCACCUGGAGAGGAACUGCUGCCAUGACCAUAGAGGACACCCUCUGGAUACAAUGCCAGACUUGAUGUGGGACUGACCAACCUAUGGACCCCAGGCACCACCACCCAGACCUGCUCAGCACCUGAAACAUUCACAGCCGUGGAGAGAGAACUGUUCACUGCUACCAUCCACACUUCUGGGCCCCUUCAGCAGCAGGGUGACAAGGAAGAGGGAAAUCGACUUGGAAAAGAGGGGACCUCUGACCCAAGAGUUCGGUCAAUGCAUAUGUUGGCAGCCAGCUGCACAUCGCACCAAAUAUGAACUUCAAAUAGAAGAAAGCCUCAUUUGGAAGAAAGCUCAUGCACAGACUGUAAAUAUUUCAGAGCAGAUUGUGUCUCUGUAGAUUAACAUCAAUUUUGCAGCAGCCAUGGCUUGUCCUAUGAGAGAUGAUUCUACCACAAGAACCCAACCACAAGGACGGCUCCUCUUUGAAGUUUUUACAGUCGAUCUCUGGAUCAGCCAGCGAAGUCCUGCUCCCAGGAUCCAGGGAGAGACCAUGGGUGCCCUCUAGGGCAUGGUACAAAGGGAGGAUUUGUUCCAGUAGAGAAUAGAAUAGGCCUUUUCUUUCACCUUUUGGUUUCCAGGUGCUGAACUACAUGUAGGAGUCUUGGUAGUAAAACCAAGCUUAAUGGUUAUUGAAAUAGAACUACCAGAGAGGUGGUAGAAGCACAUGUUUUGUACAAGUUGGUUAACUGCCAGCAGCUUUGAAUCGUGUAACUGCUUACAAAAAAUUUCACAUGGUCCAGGAAUAAGAGGAAACAAAUGUAUGAAAAACAAAUUCCCAGAUACUUACAUUUAAAAUAAAAAGCAAACUAACAAUAA
Molecule: long non-coding RNA, 1136 nt
Filed under: Homo sapiens (human)
Lineage: Eukaryota; Metazoa; Chordata; Mammalia; Primates; Hominidae
Description: MIR3976 host gene
Source: RNAcentral